AUAACCAUCAGCCUAUUCCUAUUCUUAUUUCUUCCAGUGACAUUUUAGACGUUCUCUCGUUUUAUCUCCAACACCCCUUUCUCGAUCUAACCCUACCUCUGUUUCUUGAUGUUUCAAUUUCCCCCACCAAAAGCACUUACAGAAUUUGCUUCUCAUUGCGCUAGAUUUCCGUUUCAACGGUAAAUCUCUCUCUCGCCUUUUCAAUGGCGUUGGACAACUUUGGUGACUUUGUAUAAUGGAGACGGAUCCGAAAGCGGGCAACGAACAUCGAGAGGUCAAUUUGUAAUGUGCUUUGAUGACGAAUUGGAAGAUUUCGCUUUUUAUCAAGGUGGAUUGGAAAGAUAACUUUGGCUAGAGCACCUGUAUUUCAGUUCCACAUCUGGUUGAGGUGUGUAUAUACUACCAAAAAACUAAGAAUUGCCGGCGUUUAUAUUAUCGGCGUUUGUUUAUGCGGCGAUAAUAAAAUAUUAUUGCCAGCGCUUAAUUGUUAUGCAAGUAAAUUAUUGAGUUUUCCAAUGUUUAUGUUAUUACGCUGGUAAUAAUAUAUAGCUUUGGCGGCGUUUAAAAAAAUGCCGACAAUUUGUAAAUUAUACGCCGGUAAAUUAAUAGUUUGCUGGUGUUUAUAUUGUUACGCCAUUAAUGAUAUAUUGUUUUGGUAGCAUUUAAGAACAUGCCAAAAAAUUAUCAAUUAUAUGCGGAUAAAUUACUAGUUUGUCAGCGUUUAUAUUGUUACGGCAAUAACAAUAUAUAGCUUUAGCGGUGUUUAAAAAAGCGCCGAACAUUGAUC
This is a long non-coding RNA of Carya illinoinensis, 787 nucleotides long. RefSeq lists it as uncharacterized. Lineage: Eukaryota; Viridiplantae; Streptophyta; Magnoliopsida; Fagales; Juglandaceae. The transcript has 3 exons. The record is from RefSeq and is a predicted model, not a curated record.